GGCAGAGCCUGGGGAAGAGGGCAGACCAGUCUGUGCAGGACCGUGCUCUGACCUCUGGGAUGGGCUCUCCCUGGAGAUGUGGCCUCCAGGUCCAGCCUUUCACUGCACCACUCUUCUCUGUGCAUGCCUUCAGACACACAGUGCACAACAAAGGAAAUUAAGGCCUUAACAGAGCUAAGAAAUGCAGUAUUGAGGACACUGGAGAGUGGAAUCUUCCAGAAAGCAGCCAAGUGCUGAGAGAAGAAGAGAAAUAAGCAGGCCUAAGUAUAGAUCUUUUAAUGAACCUGAAGUACUUAACCAAGCCAUCAAAACUAGGAUCCUCAUUACUGUAAAUCCUGGAGAAGAACUUCCAAAGGCUGCUUCCUUCUGCUGUAGGUUUCAGGUACUGCUUCAGAUUGCUCUUUACAUCCACUGACAGUACUGAGCCAGUCUGAGCCAGCUCCAUGGGAUGGCUUUCUGUGGGGGUGUUGGUGUCAGGAAACUGAACAGAACCGGGAAAGAAGAGCAGUGGAGGAUUCGGGCAGAGAAAUGAGGGAUCCAUUAA
RNAcentral lists this long non-coding RNA (544 nucleotides) under Parus major (Great Tit). RNAcentral describes it as "lncRNA (ENSPMJG00000005113.1)". The record is from RNAcentral. Lineage: Eukaryota; Metazoa; Chordata; Aves; Passeriformes; Paridae.